CCCUUAGAUGUUCUGGGCUGCACGCGCGCUACACUGACACUAUCAACGAGUGCUCCUGGUUUGAAAGGGUCGGGUAAUCUUUUGAAAUGGUGUCGUGAUGGGGAUAGAUCAUUGCAAUUAUUGAUCUUGAACGAGGAAUUCCUAGUAAAUGUGAGUCAUCAGCUCACGUUGAUUACGUCCCUGCCCUUUGUACACACCGCCCGUCGCUCCUACCGAUUGAGUGAACCGAUGAGUAGUCCGGAUUGCGAUCGACCUCGGUUAAUCGCGAGAAGUUCCGCAAAUCACUUCACUUAGAGGAAGGAGAAGUCGUAACA
RNAcentral lists this ribosomal RNA (314 nucleotides) under uncultured eukaryote. Its description in RNAcentral is "partial 18S ribosomal RNA". It matches the Rfam family "Eukaryotic small subunit ribosomal RNA", at positions 1470 to 1796 of the family's 1831-position model. The record is from RNAcentral.